CAGAGUUGAAAAACUCCCAAACCCUUUGUGAAUCUACCUAUCGUUGCUUCGGCAGGCGGCCCCAGGGCGGGGCUGUAGCCUCUUAGAGGUGCCUGCCGGAGGUAUGAUACUCUAUAUCUAUUGUAUACUCUGAGCAGACAUAAAAUAAGUCA
Molecule: unclassified non-coding RNA, 152 nt
Filed under: uncultured fungus
Lineage: Eukaryota; Fungi
Description: sequence contains ITS1, 5.8S rRNA gene
Source: RNAcentral